This 247-nucleotide ribosomal RNA is filed under the name uncultured bacterium. Its description in RNAcentral is "partial 16S ribosomal RNA". It matches the Rfam family "Bacterial small subunit ribosomal RNA", at positions 524 to 769 of the family's 1533-position model. The record is from RNAcentral.
UACGUAGGGUGCAAGCGUUAAUCGGAAUUACUGGGCGUAAAGCGUGCGUAGGCGGUUUUGUAAGUUUGUCGUGAAAUCCCCGGGCUCAACCUGGGAAUGGCGAUGAAGACUGCAAGGCUAGAAUCUGGCAGAGGGGGGUAGAAUUCCACGUGUAGCAGUGAAAUGCGUAGAGAUGUGGAGGAACACCGAUGGCGAAGGCAGCCCCCUGGGUCAAGAUUGACGCUCAUGCACGAAAGGCGUGGGGAGC